RNAcentral lists this long non-coding RNA (479 nucleotides) under Callithrix jacchus (white-tufted-ear marmoset). Its description in RNAcentral is "lncRNA (ENSCJAG00000079186.1)". Lineage: Eukaryota; Metazoa; Chordata; Mammalia; Primates; Cebidae. The record is from RNAcentral.
GCCUGCAGGAACGGGGGCUUGGCUGAUCUGGUUUCAACUAAUUCUAUUAAAUGAAAAGUUCUGUAGAGCAGAUUCCUUCUCAAGCCUCUGUCCACAUGGUGAUUUAAUCGAGCGAAAUUAAAACAUUGCUGCUUUCUGUCCAAAUUGCUGCUUUCUGUGGUGGCCUUGUAGAGAGCUUGGCGGGGGAGGAGGGGAGGUCUGGCUCUGGGUUGGAGGAUGGGGGUUGGCCGGAGGUGGGGUUGCUGGAUGCUCAUGGAGACAGAGGCAGGGCUGAGAGGAUGAAAAGCGGGUGGCAGGAAGAGGAAUUUGGUGAAUUCAGGACUAGGAUGGCAGAGUUCGCAGGACGCUUCAGACCAUCAAGUUCACCCCUGGUGGUGCAGAUGGGGAAACCGAGGUGCAGGUGACCCUUAAGGGAUGUCCCUAGGCUCCUCUGGCUCUUCAGGGCACUGCAAGAAAAUCACUGUAUUUGGAAAGAUGUG